UCCCUUUCUCACAGAAAAACCAAUUGAACCAGCGUAUGAGUAAUACAAGGCCUCUGCCUCUUCCAGAGAAUCGAAUGACAUGUCGAUUUCUGGUUCUGGUACAUUUUCCUCACUUCAACCAUCCUCUGGGGAAUAUUUAGUACCGAUUUUUAUAUAGAAUUAUUGAAUAGGAACUUGGAAUUGAAGAAAUACCUUGGCGUUACAAGAUCUGAAUUCUCAUUUUCGAGGUCUACACAGCUGCAAUUGAUGUUUAAGAAUAAAUUAGCAAUAGUAUCCAUACAUAUGUGCAAUAAAUCAUUCAUUACCUUGUUAAAUGAAUUUGUUCUUACUGAAACGAAAAACUAAGAAUAUAUUGACAAAGUUACAUGUUGUGGCUAUGAUUGUUCUCUUCCUCGUAAUUCUGUAAGUCCAUCAAUGUUUCUCCCUCGUCUGAUUGAAAUUUAGUAAUUAUAUAACAUUUUCCCAGUUUGGGUAUUCAAUAAAAUUCAUCGGAAUUUAAUGAAAAUACACCUCAUUAACUAGUUAUUACCGUAGGAUGCAGAUUUGAUUAUGCAGUCGUGUUC
Molecule: long non-coding RNA, 563 nt
Filed under: Zostera marina
Lineage: Eukaryota; Viridiplantae; Streptophyta; Magnoliopsida; Alismatales; Zosteraceae
Description: long non-coding RNA (ZMAR_LNC002244)
Source: RNAcentral